RNAcentral lists this ribosomal RNA (800 nucleotides) under uncultured bacterium. RNAcentral describes it as "bacterial SSU rRNA". It matches the Rfam family "Bacterial small subunit ribosomal RNA", at positions 1 to 780 of the family's 1533-position model. The record is from RNAcentral.
CGAAUUCGCCCUUAGAGUUUGAUCCUGGCUCAGAACGAACGCUGGCGGCGUGCCUAACACAUGCAAGUCGAGCGAGAAAGUAGCGAUACGAGUACAGCGGCGAACGGGUGAGUAAUACGUAGGUAAUCUACCUUUUAGUGUGGAAUAACAUUCCGAAAGGAGUGCUAAUACCGCAUGUGGAUCCACUCUUAAUGAGUGUAUCUAAAGGGGGCUCUCGCAAGAGGCUCUCGCUAAUUGAUGAGCCUGCGUCCCAUUAGCUAGUUGGUAGGGUAAUGGCCUACCAAGGCAACGAUGGGUAGCUGGUCUGAGAGGACGACCAGCCACACUGGAACUGACACACGGUCCAGACUCCUACGGGAGGCAGCAGUGGGGAAUAUUGCGCAAUGGAGGAAACUCUGACGCAGCGACGCCGCGUGGGUGAUGAAGGCCUUCGGGUUGUAAAGCCCUGUCGGCUGGGAAAAAGGCUGUCGUGCUAACACCACGAUAGUUUGAUGGUACCAGCAAAGGAAGCACCGGCUAACUCUGUGCCAGCAGCCGCGGUAAUACAGAGGGUGCAAGCGUUGUUCGGAAUUACUGGGCGUAAAGGGCGCGUAGGCGGCUUUGCAAGUCAGAUGUGAAAUCCCGAGGCUUAACUUCGGAAGUGCAUUUGAAACUGCAGAGCUAGAGUUCAGUAGAGGUUGGCGGAAUACCCAGUGGAGAGGUGAAAUGCGUAGAUAUAGGAAGGAACACCAGUGGCGAAGGCGACCACCUGGACUGAUACUGACACUGAGGUGCGAAAGCGUGGGGAGCAAACAGGAUUA